Molecule: ribosomal RNA, 792 nt
Filed under: uncultured fungus
Lineage: Eukaryota; Fungi
Description: LSU rRNA
Rfam family: Eukaryotic large subunit ribosomal RNA
Source: RNAcentral
ACCCGCUGAACUUAAGCAUAUCAAUAAGCGGAGGAAAAGAAACUAACAAGGAUUCCCCUAGUAACGGCGAGUGAAGCGGGAAUAGCUCAAAUUUGAAAUCUCACAGCGAAAGUUGUGCGAAUUGUAGUUUAGAGAAGCGUCUUCGGGGAUGACUGGGUAUAAGUCCUCUGGAAUGGGGCGUCAUAGAGGGUGAGAAUCCCGUUUAUGAUCCAAUUAGUCAUUCCUAUGUGAUACGCUUUCUAAGAGUCAGGUAGUUUGGGAUUGCUGCCUAAAAUUGGGUGGUAGGUACCAUCUAAAGCUAAAUACUGGCGAGAGACCGAUAGCGAACAAGUACCGUGAGGGAAAGAUGAAAAGAACUUUGAAAAGAGAGUUAAACAGUACGUGAAAUUGCCAAAAGGGAAACGCUUGGAAGCAGCUUGUAUACCAGCAAUCAGCCACAGCAGCCUGACAAGGGUGAUGGUGGUGCACUUGCUAAAAGCGUAUACUCGUCAACAUCAGUUUGGCUUUGGGUAGAAACCUGGAUGGAAGGUAGCUUGGGCCUCGGGCCAGAGUGUUAUAGCCGUCCGGCCUCGAUUCCGCUGGUGGGGCCUUCUGGUUCUGCUGGUGGGCCUCGAGGUAUGCUCAGGGCUGGACUGAGGACAGCAGCAUUAAUUGGGCAGCCAGUCGCCUCCUGAACUUUGUUCUUAGACAGCUCGCUGGCUAGGGACAGGGCUAGGGAGCUCGGUUGGUGUCGCCACACCAAUGCUUAGGAUGUUGGCAUAAUGCUUCCAAACGACCCGUCUUGAAACACGG